RNAcentral lists this transfer RNA (72 nucleotides) under Ceratocystis platani. It matches the Rfam family "tRNA". From Rfam's summary of the family: Transfer RNA (tRNA) molecules are approximately 80 nucleotides in length. Their secondary structure includes four short double-helical elements and three loops (D, anti-codon, and T loops). The record is from Rfam by way of RNAcentral. Lineage: Eukaryota; Fungi; Ascomycota; Sordariomycetes; Microascales; Ceratocystidaceae.
GGGCGCUUAGCUUAACAGGCAGAGCACUUGGCUCUUAACCAGGAGAUGGUGGUUCGAUCCCACCAGCGCCUA